UUACAGUGUAAUUUUUAAGAAGCAGUUAAAAAGGUAUAUUGUUUUGUAAAUAGGGGAAUUUAAAAAGAAUUAGUCAAACAUAGAAAAACUUAUUAACAGUCAAUCUCAUGAUUUUCAGGUAAAACAUUAAAUAAAAUGAGUUGUACAUAAAGCUGCAAUGUAAAACUGAAGCAUUGUUAGGAGGAUGAUUUGGAUAUAAGCGUGAGAACCACAAACUAAUAUAAUGGUUACCUAGGUAACAA
This 242-nucleotide long non-coding RNA is filed under the name Mytilus galloprovincialis (Mediterranean mussel). The record is from RNAcentral. Lineage: Eukaryota; Metazoa; Mollusca; Bivalvia; Mytilida; Mytilidae.